GGGUUGUGAGGUUAAGCGACUAAGCGUACACGGUGGAUGCCCUGGCAGUCAGAGGCGAUGAAGGACGUGCUAAUCUGCGAUAAGCGUCGGUAAGGUGAUAUGAACCGUUAUAACCGGCGAUUUCCGAAUGGGGAAACCCAGUGUGAUUCGUCACACUAUCAUUAACUGAAUCCAUAGGUUAAUGAGGCGAACCGGGGGAACUGAAACAUCUAAGUACCCAGAGGAAAAGAAAUCAACCGAGAUUCCCCCAGUAGCGGCGAGCGAACGGGGAGCAGCCCAGAGCCUGAAUCAGUGUGUGUGUUAGUGGAAGCGUCUGGAAAGGCGCGCGAUACAGGGUGACAGCCCCGUACACAAAAAUGCACAUAUUGUGAGCUCGAUGAGUAGGGCGGGACACGUGGUAUCCUGUCUGAAUAUGGGGGGACCAUCCUCCAAGGCUAAAUACUCCUGACUGACCGAUAGUGAACCAGUACCGUGAGGGAAAGGCGAAAAGAACCCCGGCGAGGGGAGUGAAAAAGAACCUGAAACCGUGUACGUACAAGCAGUGGGAGCACGCUUAGGCGUGUGACUGCGUACCUUUUGUAUAAUGGGUCAGCGACUUAUAUUCUGUAGCAAGGUUAACCGAAUAGGGGAGCCGAAGGGAAACCGAGUCUUAACUGGGCGUUAAGUUGCAGGGUAUAGACCCGAAACCCGGUGAUCUAGCCAUGGGCAGGUUGAAGGUUGGGUAACACUAACUGGAGGACCGAACCGACUAAUGUUGAAAAAUUAGCGGAUGACUUGUGGCUGGGGGUGAAAGGCCAAUCAAACCGGGAGAUAGCUGGUUCUCCCCGAAAGCUAUUUAGGUAGCGCCUCGUGAAUUCAUCUCCGGGGGUAGAGCACUGUUUCGGCAAGGGGGUCAUCCCGACUUACCAACCCGAUGCAAACUGCGAAUACCGGAGAAUGUUAUCACGGGAGACACACGGCGGGUGCUAACGUCCGUCGUGAAGAGGGAAACAACCCAGACCGCCAGCUAAGGUCCCAAAGUCAUGGUUAAGUGGGAAACGAUGUGGGAAGGCCCAGACAGCCAGGAUGUUGGCUUAGAAGCAGCCAUCAUUUAAAGAAAGCGUAAUAGCUCACUGGUCGAGUCGGCCUGCGCGGAAGAUGUAACGGGGCUAAACCAUGCACCGAAGCUGCGGCAGCGACGCUUAUGCGUUGUUGGGUAGGGGAGCGUUCUGUAAGCCUGCGAAGGUGUGCUGUGAGGCAUGCUGGAGGUAUCAGAAGUGCGAAUGCUGACAUAAGUAACGAUAAAGCGGGUGAAAAGCCCGCUCGCCGGAAGACCAAGGGUUCCUGUCCAACGUUAAUCGGGGCAGGGUGAGUCGACCCCUAAGGCGAGGCCGAAAGGCGUAGUCGAUGGGAAACAGGUUAAUAUUCCUGUACUUGGUGUUACUGCGAAGGGGGGACGGAGAAGGCUAUGUUGGCCGGGCGACGGUUGUCCCGGUUUAAGCGUGUAGGCUGGUUUUCCAGGCAAAUCCGGAAAAUCAAGGCUGAGGCGUGAUGACGAGGCACUACGGUGCUGAAGCAACAAAUGCCCUGCUUCCAGGAAAAGCCUCUAAGCAUCAGGUAACAUCAAAUCGUACCCCAAACCGACACAGGUGGUCAGGUAGAGAAUACCAAGGCGCUUGAGAGAACUCGGGUGAAGGAACUAGGCAAAAUGGUGCCGUAACU
This 1701-nucleotide ribosomal RNA is filed under the name Escherichia coli. RNAcentral's name for it is "partial 23S ribosomal RNA". It matches the Rfam family "Bacterial large subunit ribosomal RNA", at positions 1 to 1735 of the family's 2925-position model. The record is from RNAcentral. Lineage: Bacteria; Pseudomonadati; Pseudomonadota; Gammaproteobacteria; Enterobacterales; Enterobacteriaceae.